This 960-nucleotide ribosomal RNA is filed under the name Antechinus stuartii (brown antechinus). Its description in RNAcentral is "partial 16S ribosomal RNA". It matches the Rfam family "Bacterial large subunit ribosomal RNA", at positions 200 to 2014 of the family's 2925-position model. Lineage: Eukaryota; Metazoa; Chordata; Mammalia; Dasyuromorphia; Dasyuridae. The record is from RNAcentral.
AUCUAAAUUAACUUUCAAAACAUUUAUAUAAUUAUUUAUCUUAGUAUAGGUGAUAGAACGGAUAAAAUCUUAGGCACAAUAGAGAGAGUACCGUGAGGGAACGUUGAAAGAUACCAUCCUGUAAGCAAUAAAAAGCAAAGAUUAAACCUUCUACCUUUUGCAUAAUGAUUUAGCCAGUCUACACGGACAAAAAGAAUUAAAGCCCGUCUUCCCGAAAUUGAGUGAGCUAUUGUAGAACAGUUAUCAGAACGAACUCGUCUAUGUAGCAAAAUAGUGAGAUGAUUUUACAAUAGGGGUGAAAAGCCUAUCGAACUUAAUGAUAGCUGGUUAUCCAAAAAACGAAUUUUAGUUCAACUUUAAAUUUAACUCAAGUACUAACAGACUAAAUUUAAAUUUAAAUGUUAAUCAAAAGGGGGACAACUCUUUUGACAUGUGAACAAACUUACUUAGUGGGUAAUGAUAUUUACACAAAACAUUGUAGGCCUAAAAGCAGCCACCAAUUAAGAAAGCGUUAAAGCUCAAACUAUUAUGUCAUUUAAUACCAAUAGUCUAUCAAAACCCCUAAUCUAAUAUUGGAUAAUUCUAUUAAUAUUUAGAAGAUAUAAUGCUAAUAUGAGUAACAUGAAUAGAUUCUCCUUGCAUAAGCAUAAAUAUGACCGGAACAACCGCUUACACUUAAUCAACUAAAUAACUAUAACCACAUACAAGCAUUCUAUUACCAACAUUGUUAACCCAACUCAGGCAUGCAUAUAAAGGAAAGAUUAAAAGGAAUAAAAGGAACUCGGCAAACAAAACCCCGCCUGUUUACCAAAAACAUCACCUCUAGCAUUUACCAGUAUUAGAGGCACUGCCUGCCCGGUGAGUUAUGACUUUAACGGCCGCGGUAUCCUGACCGUGCAAAGGUAGCAUAAUCACUUGUCUCUUAAUUGGAGACUGGUAUGAAUGGCAUAACGAGGGUUU